RNAcentral lists this ribosomal RNA (849 nucleotides) under Triticum aestivum (bread wheat). RNAcentral describes it as "partial small subunit ribosomal RNA". The record is from RNAcentral. Lineage: Eukaryota; Viridiplantae; Streptophyta; Magnoliopsida; Poales; Poaceae.
AUGAAAAUAGUCGGAUGGAACUGCCGGGGGCUCGGGAACGGCCCGGCAGUUCGUAGCCUCCUCGAGAUGGGGAGGGUGGAGGUGCCCGAUGUACUGUUUUUGGCGGAGACAAAAUUGUCGGAUAAGGAGUUGCAGAAGUUUCGUUGGAUGUUGGGAUUGCCUCACAUGGCAGCAUGGAGUGCAGAAGGAUGAAGCAGGGGGGUGGUGUUGUUCUGGAGGCGCGAGGUUGAUAUUAUGCUUCGAUCGUUCGGAAGAAGGCAUGUGGAUGUGGACGUUAAGGAGGAAGAUGGUAGAAUCUGGUGGCUUACGGGGGUAUAUGGUGAGUCAGCGGCCGAUCGGAAGGUGCAGACAUGGAAAACCCUACGUGUUCUUGGUCAGCAACACCAAGGGGGUCGACCAUGGCUUUGUUUAGGCGACUUCAACGAGAUUUUAUCACUGGAUGAGAAGGUAGGGGGGCGGAUCGACCACAACGGCUAUUGGAUAAUUUCAGAGAGGCCCUGGAGUCUUGCGAGCUCAGCGACAUUGGGUAUGAGGGUGAUAAGUUUACCUGGCGAAAUCAUAGUAAGGAGCUCAGUUCAUACAUAUGUGAAUGCCUCGAUAGAGCCACGGCGGAUGCUUCUUGGUGUGAUUGGUUUCCUAACUUCAGUGUCCUCAACGGGGCACCCCGCCACUCGAACCACAGGCCCGUUAUUGUAUGCACUCACGGAGGUAACAGAAGGGAGCGGGGUGGAGACCGCAGAUUCCGUUUUGAAGCGUGGUGGCUACAUGAGGAGGGGUGCAGUGAGGAGGUGCAAGGGGCAUGGGAGGAAGGAUGCUUGGAAGGAAGAGGUGAUGUUGCCACAGUGUUGA